UUGAACGCUGGCGGAAUGCUUUACACAUGCAAGUCGAGCGGCAGCGCGGGGCAACCUGGCGGCGAGCGGCGAACGGGUGAGUAAUAUAUCGGAACGUACCCUGUCGUGGGGGAUAACGCAGCGAAAGCUGUGCUAAUACCGCAUACGAUCUAAGGAUGAAAGCGGGGGACCGAAAGGCCUCGCGCGAUUGGAGCGGCCGAUGUCAGAUUAGCUAGUUGGUGGGGUAAAGGCCCACCAAGGCAACGAUCUGUAGCUGGUCUGAGAGGACGACCAGCCACACUGGGACUGAGACACGGCCCAGACUCCUACGGGAGGCAGCAGUGGGGAAUUUUGGACAAUGGGCGCAAGCCUGAUCCAGCAAUGCCGCGUGCAGGAAGAAGGCCUUCGGGUUGUAAACUGCUUUUGUACGGAACGAAAAGGUCUGGGUUAAUACCCUGGGCCCAUGACGGUACCGUAAGAAUAAGCACCGGCUAACUACGU
RNAcentral lists this ribosomal RNA (480 nucleotides) under uncultured bacterium. RNAcentral's name for it is "bacterial SSU rRNA". It matches the Rfam family "Bacterial small subunit ribosomal RNA", at positions 29 to 506 of the family's 1533-position model. The record is from RNAcentral.